AACGAACGCUGGCGGCAUGCCUAACACAUGCAAGUCGAACGAGACCUUCGGGUCUAGUGGCGCACGGGUGCGUAACGCGUGGGAACCUGCCUUUAGGUUCGGAAUAACUCAGAGAAAUUUGAGCUAAUACCGGAUGAUGUCUUCGGACCAAAGAUUUAUCGCCUUUAGAUGGGCCCGCGUUGGAUUAGCUAGUUGGUGGGGUAAAGGCCUACCAAGGCGACGAUCCAUAGCUGGUCUGAGAGGAUGAUCAGCCACACUGGGACUGAGACACGGCCCAGACUCCUACGGGAGGCAGCAGUGGGGAAUAUUGGACAAUGGGCGAAAGCCUGAUCCAGCAAUGCCGCGUGAGUGAUGGAGGCCUUAGGGUUGUAAAGCUCUUUUACCCGAGAUGAUAAUGACAGUAUCGGGAGAAUAAGCUCCGGCUAACUCCGUG
This 433-nucleotide ribosomal RNA is filed under the name uncultured bacterium. RNAcentral's name for it is "partial 16S ribosomal RNA". It matches the Rfam family "Bacterial small subunit ribosomal RNA", at positions 29 to 507 of the family's 1533-position model. The record is from RNAcentral.